Molecule: long non-coding RNA, 2849 nt
Organism: Protopterus annectens (West African lungfish)
Lineage: Eukaryota; Metazoa; Chordata; Ceratodontiformes; Protopteridae
Exons: 3
Source: RefSeq, a predicted model, not a curated record
GGCAGGAAGAUAUUUUCUGUUGCAGUAGGAAGUUCUUGUUCUAUAGCAUCCCUACUGUGUACCUCUUCUAAUAUAUUAGUUCCUAUCUACUUAAAUUUUUCAGAUAGUGUAUCUCUGGUCAUCUUUGGACUAUCUUCACUGGAAUCGCACCCUUCACGAUAAAGGAGUGCAGAAGAGAAAAAAAAUCACCACCAGGUGAAUCUACUGCUAUUCUGACAUCAUUAUUACAGAAGACAAGUAUAUUUGGGUAGCGCAUUUGGAAUUUUAUUUUCCGCUUGAUUAGAUCCGCACAAUAAGUUGGGAGUUAUAGUGGAUCUUUUCCUCGCUAGAAGUACAACAGAGAAGGUUGAUCUUGUUGACCUGUAUUUCAUACACAAUAUGUCUUAUAUUCCCUGCAAGAAUUUCUUUGUCUUAUCCUGUCUGAUUGUAACUGUUGAAUGCAUACAUGUGUGUAUUAUAAAAUUUCAGUAGUUAAAUAUAUUGCAUUGUGUGUAGGUACUAAUGAAGUACUUAUGCAGGUGUGUCUUUUGUUUUAAAAAAUGCAUGUAGCACUCUGUGGAAAACCUGAACUGCAAAUGCUGAAAUGUAACAGUUCAAGGAAGUGUGAAUUUCCUUUUCUGCAUUGUACAUUAGUGAAGUAAAACAGCUUAUUCUCUGAAAAGUUAUGUGCUUCUCAAUAUUUCGGCAAAGUAACCCCAACUACCCUCCCCCAGCAGUCAGUCUGAUUAAUGUGUGGUGAGUGUCAUUUCAGCAAUGUUGUACGUGCAGCAAAAAGUGCAUAUGAACAACAAGUAAGUUCAGCAAUUCAUUUACUGAUCUCUAGUUACUUUUCACAAAGACUGUCUUCUUGAAAUAAUUCAGAAAGGUCAAUGCAGUGCUACACAAGUCUUUACAUCUGUAACUGCAAGUGUUAUUUCAUAAUUGUAGUACAUGCAGUCAGCAUUACUGAUAUUCGAAUAUUACUUAUACAUUUACAGUUACCUGUAGAAAUUCCUGUUUUCAUGUUCUUUAUUGACAUGUUCAUUUAUUACUAUAACUUGGUACACAGCAGUAUUUUCUCUCUGUCAUGAACAGAUGGAUGUCUGAGUACAAAAAUGGUAUUCCUAUUUCUUUAUGAAUUUCAGAAUGUUACCUGAAGUACAUAUUUGCAGGUAAAGAUAUCUGACUGUUGAAGUACAUGUACUUGGAGAAUUUUUUCUAGCCCCCUUUUGUGUUUUAUACAUACAGCUAUAUGUGGAUUAAAAAUUGUACUAACUGUAGAACUCUGGCCUUCUCACCCUAACCUGGUCAACAGUCGUGGCCAACUGGUUAGCACUACAGUUUUUCUAGUCAUCAUGCCUCUGACAACACUGCUGACUGGAGUGGGUUAUGUGUGUCAAGGAUGACAGGUCAUUACCUAGCUCCUGCCAGAUAUCUAUUUUCUUCCACUUACUGGUACACAUGCAUGCCUGGAUCUUCUCCAGGUAGGAGUCAUGCAAAAGAUAGAGCAUGAUUCAUUUCUCUUUCUCAAACCAGCCAGGAGUAUGGCCUUGUGCCUUCACAGGUGCUGCCAUCAUAGGAAGAGCCAGAACCAGAAUGAGGAAUGUAAAGUGAUGACUGUAUUAUGCUGGGUUAGAACCACUCCCUGUUGAGUGUGACAUCAACUUGACCAAACCUUAAAUUAUUAGCAUGCUCAUUAGACCAGGUAUUGAUAACAUUGGCAGGUUUGGUGUAACCAAAACUGAUUUGUCUCGCACUUUUUUUCUUAAAGAGAAGCACUUACCAGACCAUACAGUUACUAAUGGAUUAUUUCUAUGUUUAUCUAUAGCAGUUAGUUUUGCCAGUAAUAUUUCUUCAUAACAUUUACAUUAUCAUUAUGUCUGAGUUUAGCAGCAUGCGGUUUCAUGUAGUGAAGUUAGGCCUAGUUCUUUUUUUUAAAUAGGUAAUGGAGUAAGAAAUGUCAAUACUAAUAUUAUGAAGUACUUCUUGGACUUUUGGAUAUGGAUUAUUUGUUCAGAUGUGACAUACAGACUUAGAUGACCAUAGAUUAGCCUUUAGAUUCAUGACAGACUGACAUUAAGAGGACUACAUAUUGAGUUUUACCAGCAUAUCUUUGUAUUGGUUAGUUUUGGCCAAAUAGCCUGUGGCUGCGAACAGCUUGGAAUUGCUGUGGACUGCUGCAAAGGUGGUAAAUGUCUGCAGUGCAUCCAUGGCUUUUCAGAUUUAUUCUUGUAAUGUGUCACAUGUGUUCACAAUUGGCUAAAAUCUGGAAUAUACCGAUGUACUUUGUAACAUGUUUGCAUUAUAUUUCAAUUCAUAGAUAACCAUAUACAUUAGGCUAAUUUUCAUACUAAACUUGUAGAUCAGCCUGAAUUAAUGCUGCAAAGUUAAGGUGUACCAUACUGAUUUGUGAAUAGCCGAGAUAGGUGGCAAAUUACUUAGGAUACCUCAGACAUGAAAAAGUAAAAAAAUGUUUAUAAAUUAAUUAAUAGCUAUUAACAGACCAUUUAACAGUUGCUGUCUUAAUGUUUUAAAUGUCAGUUGCAAUGCAUUUUGAACUGUAUUAUGCAUUUAAACAUAACAUUGAAUGACUGGUUAAUUAUGCCAAAGUGCUUGCAAGUUGUUUGUGGUUAUGUUCACUGAAAAUGUUCUAAGUAAGCAAUGCUUCACUGCAUAACCUUGUUAUUGUCCAUAAAUCUGAGAAAUGGCUAUUGCAGUUGAGAAUGUAUACAGUGCAGAAGACAUAAAUGCAGAAUGUGUAGUGAAAAUGUUGUGUUACUGCUGUCACUCUGAGGGCGGAAUACCUGGUAAUGGCAGUACUGCGUUGUAAUGUAGGUGUAAUUACUUCCAUCAGUACAGAAUAAAAUGAA